This 402-nucleotide ribosomal RNA is filed under the name Candidatus Acetothermia bacterium. RNAcentral's name for it is "bacterial SSU rRNA". It matches the Rfam family "Bacterial small subunit ribosomal RNA", at positions 1139 to 1533 of the family's 1533-position model. The record is from RNAcentral. Lineage: Bacteria; Candidatus Bipolaricaulota.
UCAUGCGGGACUGCCGGUAUAAAGCCGGAGGAAGGUGGGGAUGACGUCAAGUCAGCAUGGCCUUUAUGUCCAGGGCUACACACACGCUACAAUGGCCGGUACAAUGGGUCGCGAAGCCGUGAGGCGGAGCCAAUCCUCCAAAGCCGGUCUCAGUUCGGAUUGCAGGCUGCAACCCGCCUGCAUGAAGUCGGAGUUGCUAGUAACCGCAGGACAGCCAUACUGCGGUGAAUACGUUCCCGGGCCUUGUACACACCGCCCGUCACGUCAUGGGAGCUGGCAACACCUGAAGUCGGCGACCCAACCGCAAGGAGGGAGCCGCCCAAGGUGGGGCUGGUGACUGGGACGAAGUCGUAACAAGGUAGCUGUACCGGAAGGUGCGGCUGGAUCACCUCCUUUCUAAGG